RNAcentral lists this ribosomal RNA (617 nucleotides) under uncultured Alphaproteobacteria bacterium. Its description in RNAcentral is "bacterial SSU rRNA". It matches the Rfam family "Bacterial small subunit ribosomal RNA", at positions 28 to 691 of the family's 1533-position model. Lineage: Bacteria; Pseudomonadati; Pseudomonadota; Alphaproteobacteria. The record is from RNAcentral.
AACGAACGCUGGCGGCAGGCCUAACACAUGCAAGUCGAGCGAAGUCUUCGGACUUAGCGGCGGACGGGUGAGUAACGCGUGGGAACGUACCCUUUGGUACGGAAUAGCCCCGGGAAACUGGGAGUAAUACCGUAUGGUGUCUUCGGACUAAAGAUUUAUCGCCAAAGGAUCGGCCCGCGUUGGAUUAGGUAGUUGGUGGGGUAAUGGCCUACCAAGCCGACGAUCCAUAGCUGGUUUGAGAGGAUGAUCAGCCACACUGGGACUGAGACACGGCCCAGACUCCUACGGGAGGCAGCAGUGGGGAAUCUUAGACAAUGGGGGCAACCCUGAUCUAGCCAUGCCGCGUGAGUGAUGAAGGCCCUAGGGUUGUAAAGCUCUUUCAGCUGGGAAGAUAAUGACGGUACCAGCAGAAGAAGCCCCGGCUAACUCCGUGCCAGCAGCCGCGGUAAUACGGAGGGGGCUAGCGUUGUUCGGAAUUACUGGGCGUAAAGCGCGCGUAGGCGGACUGGAAAGUUGGGGGUGAAAUCCCGGGGCUCAACCUCGGAACUGCCUUCAAAACUAUCAGUCUGGAGUUCGAGAGAGGUGAGUGGAAUUCCGAGUGUAGAGGUGAAAUUCGU